AACGCGAAGAACCUUACCAGGGCUUGACAUGCACUGGAAUGUCGUGGAAACACGGCAGCCCUUCGGGGCCAGUGCACAGGUGGUGCAUGGCUGUCGUCAGCUCGUGUCGUGAGAUGUUGGGUUAAGUCCCGCAACGAGCGCAACCCUUGCUCUUAGUUGCCAUCAGGUCAAGCUGGGCACUCUAAGAGGACUGCCGGUGAAAAACCGGAGGAAGGUGGGGACGACGUCAAGUCCUCAUGGCCUUUAUAUCCGGGGCGACACACACGCUACAAUGGGCAGUACAAUGGGAGGCGAAAGGGCGACCUGGAGCGAAUCCUAUCAAAGCUGUUCGUAGUUCGGAUUGCAGGCUGCAACUCGCCUGCAUGAAGCUGGAGUUGCUAGUAACCGUAGGUCAGCCAUACUACGGUGAAUACGUUCCCGGGCCUUGUACACACCG
Molecule: ribosomal RNA, 436 nt
Filed under: uncultured bacterium
Lineage: Bacteria
Description: bacterial SSU rRNA
Rfam family: Bacterial small subunit ribosomal RNA
Source: RNAcentral